UAAGGAAUAUUGCGCAAUGGGGGAAACCCUGACGCAGCAACGCCGCGUGGAGGAUGACACUUUUCGGAGCGUAAACUCCUUUUAUCAGGAAAGAAUAAUGACGGUACCUGAUGAAUAAGCACCGGCUAACUCCGUGCCAGCAGCCGCGGUAAUACGGGGGGUGCAAGCGUUACACGGAAUCACUGGGCGUAAAGGACGCGUAGGCGGAUUAUCAAGUCUUUUGUGAAAUCUAGUGGCUUAACCACUAAACUGCUUAGGAAACUGAUAGUCUAGAGUAGGGGAGAGGUAGAUGGAAUUCUUGGUGUAGGGGUAAAAUCCGUAGAGAUCAAGAAGAAUACCCAUUGCGAAAGCGAUCUGCUGGAACCUAACUGACGCUGAGGCGUGAAAGCGUGGGUAGCAAACAGG
This 405-nucleotide ribosomal RNA is filed under the name bacterium. RNAcentral describes it as "partial 16S ribosomal RNA". It matches the Rfam family "Bacterial small subunit ribosomal RNA", at positions 355 to 776 of the family's 1533-position model. The record is from RNAcentral.